RNAcentral lists this ribosomal RNA (465 nucleotides) under Vreelandella stevensii. RNAcentral describes it as "partial 16S ribosomal RNA". It matches the Rfam family "Bacterial small subunit ribosomal RNA", at positions 338 to 795 of the family's 1533-position model. Lineage: Bacteria; Pseudomonadati; Pseudomonadota; Gammaproteobacteria; Oceanospirillales; Halomonadaceae. The record is from RNAcentral.
CCUACGGGAGGCAGCAGUGGGGAAUAUUGGACAAUGGGGGCAACCCUGAUCCAGCCAUGCCGCGUGUGUGAAGAAGGCCCUCGGGUUGUAAAGCACUUUCAGUGAUGAAGAACGCCUGGUGGUUAAUACCCAUCAGGAAAGACAUCACUCACAGAAGAAGCACCGGCUAACUCCGUGCCAGCAGCCGCGGUAAUACGGAGGGUGCGAGCGUUAAUCGGAAUUACUGGGCGUAAAGCGCGCGUAGGUGGCUUGAUAAGCCGGUUGUGAAAGCCCCGGGCUCAACCUGGGAACGGCAUCCGGAACUGUCAAGCUAGAGUGCAGGAGAGGAAGGUAGAAUUCCCGGUGUAGCGGUGAAAUGCGUAGAGAUCGGGAGGAAUACCAAUGGCGAAGGCGGCAUUCUGGACUGACACUGACACUGAGGUGCGAAAGCGUGGGUAGCACUCAGGAUUAGAUACCCUAGUAGUA